RNAcentral lists this ribosomal RNA (404 nucleotides) under uncultured bacterium. RNAcentral's name for it is "bacterial SSU rRNA". It matches the Rfam family "Bacterial small subunit ribosomal RNA", at positions 355 to 776 of the family's 1533-position model. The record is from RNAcentral.
UGGGGAAUAUUGGACAAUGGGCGCAAGCCUGAUCCAGCCAUGCCGCGUGAGUGAUGAAGGCCUUCGGGUUGUAAAGCUCUUUCAGAUGGGACGAUGAUGACGGUACCAUCAGAAGAAGCCCCGGCUAACUUCGUGCCAGCAGCCGCGGUAAUACGAAGGGGGCUAGCGUUGUUCGGAAUUACUGGGCGUAAAGCGCGCGUAGGCGGCUUUGUCAGUCAGGGGUGAAAUCCCGGGGCUUAACCUCGGAACUGCCCUUGAUACUGCAAGGCUUGAGUCUGUGAGAGGAUGGUGGAAUACCCAGUGUAGAGGUGAAAUUCGUAGAUAUUGGGUGGAACACCAGUGGCGAAGGCGGCCAUCUGGCACAGUACUGACGCUGAGGUGCGAAAGCGUGGGGAGCAAACAGG